Molecule: ribosomal RNA, 253 nt
Filed under: uncultured bacterium
Lineage: Bacteria
Description: partial 16S ribosomal RNA
Rfam family: Bacterial small subunit ribosomal RNA
Source: RNAcentral
UACGGGGGGGGCAAGCGUUGUUCGGAAUUACUGGGCGUAAAGGGCUCGUAGGCGGCCAACUAAGUCAGACGUGAAAUCCCUCGGCUUAACCGGGGAACUGCGUCUGAUACUGGAUGGCUAGAGGUUGGGAGAGGGAUGCGGAAUUCCAGGUGUAGCGGUGAAAUGCGUAGAUAUCUGGAGGAACACCGGUGGCGAAGGCAAUCCCCUGGGCCUGCACUGACGCUCAUGCACGAAAGCGUGGGGAGCAAACAGG